CAUUUAUUUCCUAUCGAUUUAAGUUCAAGGAGCACAGAGCAGCUAUGUGGCGGGGAACCUGUGCAGCCUCUUCCCUACCCACCCGCAUUGGUAGUGUCCUGGGGAACAGCAGCAGCCAGGCAGAUUUGUGAAGGAUAUAUACGGAGUGGGAUCUGUGAUCCGGAGCGUGAGGAGGACACCCAGAACUGCCUGAGAGGGCGUUUGCCCCCAUACUGGUAACACUGAAGAGGACUUUAACAAUAGCAAAGUCUGCGUGAGGUAACCGUCAGCCAUAUUAAACGCUAUCCAGGGAGCUCGGGGACGUCCCCACUGGCAAGGCCUUGGAACGUUGAUCAAGGAAAGCUUUACUGCUGUGGCAUCUGCAGAACAGGCCAACAGUAUCCUGAGCAGCAUUAGGAAAAGCAUCAUCAGCAGGUCAAGGGAUGGUCCUUCCCCUCUGCUCAGCCCUGGUGGGACCACACCUGGAGUGCUGUGUGCUGAACUCCACAGUCAAAGAGAGAUGUGGACCUGCUGGAGUGAGCCUAGUGAAGGUCCCAGGGACUAGAGCAUCUCUUAUAUGAAGGAAGGUUGAGAGAGCAGGGACUGUUUAGCCUGGAGAAGAGGAGGCUCAGGGGAGAUCUUAGCAAUGUGUCUAAAUACCUGAUGGGGGGCAGUAAAGAAAAUGGAGCCAAACUUUUUUCAGCAGUACCUGGUGACAGGAUGAGAGGCAAUGGGCACCAACUGAAACAGAGUGAAUUCUAUUUAAACACAUGAAAAACCUUUUUUAAUGUGAAGGUGGUUGAGGAGUGGAACAGGAUGCCCAAACCAAUUGUGGAACCUUCAUCCUCGGAGAUAUCCUGGACAAUGAGCUCUAGGUGACCCUGCUUGAGCAGGGGGGGUUGAACUCGGUGAUCUCCAGAGAUGCCUUCCAACGUCAACCAUUCUGUGUUUCUGUGAUUCUGUGAAUAAGCACUCAGGACUGUGAUCUCACUUGGUAUUUACAAAGAGCUUCUUUCAAACAAAUCACAGACUAAGAAAGAGAGGGCAAUUUCUCAGCAGUCCUGAAUGACGAGUAAGGUUUAGUAAUUUGACAUAAACUCAUCAUGAAUAAUUUAAAAGCAGAAAAAAUAGGUCAUAUUCAUUAGCUAAAUUACAAAUUCUUUUUCAUGCUGCAGUAUUUAAAAUUACUGAUAAGAAAAUAUGCAAUAGCCUCAAGCAUUACUAUGCCUAACAUAUCAUUAAAAAAAAAUCUGUAAGUUUGUAAGUUUCUAAGCAAUCAUUUUGUAUACUCUUG
RNAcentral lists this long non-coding RNA (1273 nucleotides) under Struthio camelus australis. RNAcentral describes it as "lncRNA (ENSSCUG00000008909.1)". Lineage: Eukaryota; Metazoa; Chordata; Aves; Struthioniformes; Struthionidae. The record is from RNAcentral.